UAGAGUUUGAUCCUGGCUCAGGACGAACGCUGGCGGCGUGCUUAACACAUGCAAGUCGAACGAUGAACCACUUCGGUGGGGAUUAGUGGCGAACGGGUGAGUAACACGUGGGCAAUCUGCCCUGCACUCUGGGACAAGCCCUGGAAACGGGGUCUAAUACCGGAUACUGAUCCUCGCAGGCAUCUGCGAGGUUCGAAAGCUCCGGCGGUGCAGGAUGAGCCCGCGGCCUAUCAGCUAGUUGGUGAGGUAACGGCUCACCAAGGCGACGACGGGUAGCCGGCCUGAGAGGGCGACCGGCCACACUGGGACUGAGACACGGCCCAGACUCCUACGGGAGGCAGCAGUGGGGAAUAUUGCACAAUGGGCGAAAGCCUGAUGCAGCGACGCCGCGUGAGGGAUGACGGCCUUCGGGUUGUAAACCUCUUUCAGCAGGGAAGAAGCGAAAGUGACGGUACCUGCAGAAGAAGCGCCGGCUAACUACGUGCCAGCAGCCGCGGUAAUACGUAGGGCGCAAGCGUUGUCCGGAAUUAUUGGGCGUAAAGAGCUCGUAGGCGGCUUGUCACGUCGGUUGUGAAAGCCCGGGGCUUAACCCCGGGUCUGCAGUCGAUACGGGCAGGCUAGAGUUCGGUAGGGGAGAUCGGAAUUCCUGGUGUAGCGGUGAAAUGCGCAGAUAUCAGGAGGAACACCGGUGGCGAAGGCGGAUCUCUGGGCCGAUACUGACGCUGAGGAGCGAAAGCGUGGGGAGCGAACAGGAUUAGAUACCCUGGUAGUCCACGCCGUAAACGGUGGGCACUAGGUGUGGGCAACAUUCCACGUUGUCCGUGCCGCAGCUAACGCAUUAAGUGCCCCGCCUGGGG
RNAcentral lists this ribosomal RNA (857 nucleotides) under Streptomyces enissocaesilis. Its description in RNAcentral is "bacterial SSU rRNA". It matches the Rfam family "Bacterial small subunit ribosomal RNA", at positions 1 to 878 of the family's 1533-position model. Lineage: Bacteria; Bacillati; Actinomycetota; Actinomycetes; Kitasatosporales; Streptomycetaceae. The record is from RNAcentral.